AAGUCGUAACAAGGUUUCCGUAGGUGAACCUGCGGAAGGAUCAUUAAUGAACUGCCGAAAGGGAGUUGUCGCUGGCCUACAUAGGCAUGUGCACACCCCCGUUCACAUCCACUCACACAUGUGCACGACCUGUAGUUUCCGGGGCAGGGGAUGGCAUGUCCCGCCCUGGGUUCUACCCCUUUUUUCUUCCACGCACGCCGUCGAAAAGUCACAGGGAACGUAACGUAGCGUAAUGACGCAAACUAGUACAACUUUCAGCAACGGAUCUCUUGGCUCUC
Molecule: unclassified non-coding RNA, 278 nt
Filed under: fungal sp.
Lineage: Eukaryota; Fungi
Description: partial internal transcribed spacer region
Rfam family: Eukaryotic small subunit ribosomal RNA (bases 1-46)
Source: RNAcentral